RNAcentral lists this ribosomal RNA (480 nucleotides) under uncultured bacterium. RNAcentral's name for it is "partial 16S ribosomal RNA". It matches the Rfam family "Bacterial small subunit ribosomal RNA", at positions 28 to 523 of the family's 1533-position model. The record is from RNAcentral.
GACGAACGCUGGCGGCGUGCUUAACACAUGCAAGUCGAGCGAGAGAAGUUCCUUCGGGAAGGACUCUAGCGGCGGACGGGCGAGUAACACGUGGGUAACCUGCCUGACAGAGGGGGGUAGCCUUUCGUCAGGAAGAUUUAUAACGCACAAGAUUGUCGUAUAGCAUGAUACAGCAAUUAAAGGAGUAAUCCGCGAUGAGAGGGAACCGCGUCGCAUUAGCUAGUUGGUGAGGUAACGGAUCACCAAGGCGACGAUGCGUAGACGACCUGAGAGGGUGAUCGGCCACAUUGGGAAUGAGAAGCAGCACAGAAUCCUACGGGAGGAAGCCAUGGGGAAUAUUGCACAAUGGGGGAAACCCUGAUGCAGCAACGCCGCGUGAGUGAUGACGUUAUUCGGAUUGUAAUACUCUGUCUUCAGGGACGAUAAUGACGGUACCUGAGGAGGAAGCCACGGCUAACUACAUGCCAGCAGCCGCGGUAA